UACGUAGGGUGCAAGCGUUGUCCGGAAUUAUUGGGCGUAAAGAGCUCGUAGGCGGUCUGUCGCGUCGGACGUGAAAAUCCAGGGCUCAACCCUGGACCUGCGUUCGAUACGGGCAGACUAGAGUUCGGUAGGGGAGACUGGGAUUCCUGGUGUAGCGGUGAAAUGCGCAGAUAUCAGGAGGAACACCGGUGGCGAAGGCAGCCCCCUGGGCUUAAAUUGACGCUGAGGCACGAAAGCGUGGGGAGCAAACAGG
This 253-nucleotide ribosomal RNA is filed under the name uncultured bacterium. RNAcentral's name for it is "partial 16S ribosomal RNA". It matches the Rfam family "Bacterial small subunit ribosomal RNA", at positions 524 to 776 of the family's 1533-position model. The record is from RNAcentral.